AGCGAACGCUGGCGGCAUGCUUAACACAUGCAAGUCGAACGAACCUUUCGGGGUUAGUGGCGGACGGGUGAGUAACACGUGGGAACGUGCCUGUAGGUACGGAAUCACUCAGGGAAACUUGAGCUAAUACCGAAUGUGCCCUUCGGGGGUAAGAUUUAUCGCGUUUAGAGCGGCCCGGGACUGAUUAGCUAGUUGGUUGAGGAAAUGGCUCACCAAAGCUAGGAUCAGUGGCUGGUCUGAGAGGAUGCUCAGCCAGAUUGGGACUGAGACACGGCCCAAACUCCGACGGGAGGGAGCAGUAGGGUAUCUUGCGGGAUGGACGAAAGCCUGACGCAGCCAUGCCGGGUGAAUGAUGAAGGUCUUAGGAUUGUGAAAUUCUUUCAGCGGAGACGAUAAUGACGGUACCCGGAGAAGAAGCCCCGGCUAACUUCGUG
Molecule: ribosomal RNA, 434 nt
Filed under: uncultured bacterium
Lineage: Bacteria
Description: partial 16S ribosomal RNA
Rfam family: Bacterial small subunit ribosomal RNA
Source: RNAcentral